GGGGAAUAUUGGACAAUGGGGGGAACCCUGAUCCAGCCAUGCCGCGUGUGUGAAGAAGGCCUUUUGGUUGUAAAGCACUUUAAGCGAGGAGGAGGCUACUGGUACUAAUACUACCAGCUAGUGGACGUUACUCGCAGAAUAAGCACCGGCUAACUCUGUGCCAGCAGCCGCGGUAAUACAGAGGGUGCGCGCGUUAAUCGGAUUUACUGGGCGUAAAGCGUGCGUAGGCGGCUGAUUAAGUCGGAUGUGAAAUCCCCGAGCUUAACUUGGGAAUUGCAUUCGAUACUGGUCAGCUAGAGUAUGGGAGAGGAUGGUAGAAUUCCAGGUGUAGCGGUGAAAUGCGUAGAGAUCUGGAGGAAUACCGAUGGCGAAGGCAGCCAUCUGGCCUAAUACUGACGCUGAGGUACGAAAGCAUGGGGAGCAAAC
RNAcentral lists this ribosomal RNA (426 nucleotides) under uncultured bacterium. RNAcentral describes it as "bacterial SSU rRNA". It matches the Rfam family "Bacterial small subunit ribosomal RNA", at positions 356 to 773 of the family's 1533-position model. The record is from RNAcentral.